UCCAAAAGCGGUGCCGUAUUGCUACUGCGUGCCUGUUGUGGCGGUGGUGGCGCUUUCACCCUCAAUGCCACCGCAUAAGUUUCAUAGCCACGGCCCACGGAAACAACAGCAGCUUCGGGUAACAGUCUGACCUGAACAUUUCUGGAAUCACUGGUGCCAUUGAGCGUAACAUCAUCUGAUUUGAUUGAAGAAUGGGUAGGAUUAACGAAGAAUCCUUGAAAUUCCUCGACAUCGUCAUCUUCCCCUUCUUCGGCAUUCUCAUCGGCUUCAGGAAUCGGAAUAAAUCUUCCACCGGCAGUUGGAGAAAGCAAUGGCUCAUCAUCAUCAUAGGAUCUCGAAUCAGAGGUUUUUGGAUUUAGAGAUACUGGCUGGGGGUCGUGGCUUUCUUGGGGUGGUCUUAAUGGCUCUGGGUGAAGAUUCGACCACCAAAACUUUUUUCUCUUCAAGUUUGGGCUGCUUGUCGCUGUUGGAAUUGUUAUCGGCAUUGGUGUUCUGAACGGCGUCAUUUUGUGGGUGAAGAUUCUUGUGGAUGGCGAGUAAAGGAACAUCUUUCCAGGUAGAGUUGCAGACGGGGCACACAAGGCUGCCAUGCUUACGGACAUGGGCGGCUAUACAAGGGAAGUGAAAAGCGUGUGCGCAUUCUGCUGUGUAUAUUGCCGUGCCCUGACCUGUCUUCACGCUAUUCAAACAGAUUCCGCAGCUACUCCUGAAUUUGAAGCUAUUCUUGAAGAGGGACAGCUUAAGAGGAGAUCGAGGAGAGGAUGGGUUUGAACUCUUAGCUGCUCUGGGUGUGGUUUUGCAAUGGAGCACGGGACUUUCAUUCGUGGAAGGUGGUUCCGAAGUAUUACUUGUAGUUCGGCAACGUAAGCUUGGGCUAGAGAUGGGCUGCGACCGUAGGCGAGGCGUGGCGGGG
This 913-nucleotide unclassified non-coding RNA is filed under the name Hevea brasiliensis (rubber tree). Lineage: Eukaryota; Viridiplantae; Streptophyta; Magnoliopsida; Malpighiales; Euphorbiaceae. The record is from RNAcentral.